RNAcentral lists this ribosomal RNA (467 nucleotides) under uncultured bacterium. RNAcentral describes it as "partial 16S ribosomal RNA". It matches the Rfam family "Bacterial small subunit ribosomal RNA", at positions 28 to 507 of the family's 1533-position model. The record is from RNAcentral.
GAUGAACGCUGGCGGCGUGCUUAACACAUGCAAGUCGAACGGAAAGGCCCAAGCUUGCUUGGGUACUCGAGUGGCGAACGGGUGAGUAACACGUGGGUGAUCUGCCCUGCACUUCGGGAUAAGCCUGGGAAACUGGGUCUAAUACCGGAUAGGACCACUUCUUGGAUGUUGUGGUGGAAAGUUUUUUCGGUGUGGGAUGAGCUCGCGGCCUAUCAGCUUGUUGGUGGGGUAAUGGCCUACCAAGGCGUCGACGGGUAGCCGGCCUGAGAGGGUGUACGGCCACAUUGGGACUGAGAUACGGCCCAGACUCCGACGGGAGGCAGCAGUGGGGAAUAUUGCACAAUGGGCGCAAGCCUGAUGCAGCGACGCCGCGUGGGGGAUGACGGCCUUCGGGUUGGAAACUCCUUUCGCUAGGGACGAAGCGUUUUGUGACGGUACCUGGAGAAGAAGCACCGGCUAACUACGUG